This 298-nucleotide ribosomal RNA is filed under the name uncultured soil bacterium. RNAcentral's name for it is "partial 16S ribosomal RNA". It matches the Rfam family "Bacterial small subunit ribosomal RNA", at positions 26 to 321 of the family's 1533-position model. The record is from RNAcentral.
AGAGUGAACGCUGGCGGUAGGCCUAACACAUGCAAGUCGAACGGCAGCACAGUGGUAGCAAUACCAUGGGUGGCGAGUGGCGGACGGGUGAGGAAUACAUCGGAAUCUACCUUUUCGUGGGGGAUAACGUAGGGAAACUUACGCUAAUACCGCAUACGCCCUUCGGGGGAAAGCCGGGGAUCGCAAGACCUGGCGCGGAUAGAUGAGCCGAUGUCGGAUUAGCUAGUUGGUGAGUAAUGGCUCACCAAGGCGACGAUCCGUAGCUGGUCUGAGAGGAUGAUCAGCCACACUGGAACUG